RNAcentral lists this small nuclear RNA (84 nucleotides) under Mus spicilegus (steppe mouse). Lineage: Eukaryota; Metazoa; Chordata; Mammalia; Rodentia; Muridae. The record is from RNAcentral.
GUGCUCCCUUUCGCAGCACAGAGAAGAUUAGCAUGGCCCCUGGGAAAGGAUGACACACAAAUAGGUGAAGCGUUCCAUAUUUAA